This 253-nucleotide ribosomal RNA is filed under the name uncultured bacterium. Its description in RNAcentral is "partial 16S ribosomal RNA". It matches the Rfam family "Bacterial small subunit ribosomal RNA", at positions 524 to 776 of the family's 1533-position model. The record is from RNAcentral.
UACAGAGGGGGCAAGCGUUGUUCGGAAUUACUGGGCGUAAAGCGUGCGCAGGCGGCUUUGCAAGACAGAUGUGAAAUCCCCGGGCUUAACCUGGGAACUGCAUUUGUGACUGCAUGGCUGGAGUGCGGCAGAGGGGGAUGGAAUUCCGCGUGUAGCAGUGAAAUGCGUAGAUAUCGGGAGGAACACCUGUGGCGAAGGCGGCCCCCUGGUUGGAUACUGACGCUGAUACGCGAAAGCGUGGGGAGCAAACAGG